Molecule: ribosomal RNA, 253 nt
Filed under: uncultured bacterium
Lineage: Bacteria
Description: partial 16S ribosomal RNA
Rfam family: Bacterial small subunit ribosomal RNA
Source: RNAcentral
UACGAAGGGGGCUAGCGUUGCUCGGAAUCACUGGGCGUAAAGCGCACGUAGGCGGACUCUUAAGUCAGGGGUGAAAUCCUGGAGCUCAACUCCAGAACUGCCUUUGAUACUGAGAGCCUUGAGUCCGGAAGAGGUAAGUGGAACUGCGAGUGUAGAGGUGAAAUUCGUAGAUAUUCGCAAGAACACCAGUGGCGAAGGCGGCUCACUGGCCCGGUACUAACGCUGAGGUGCGAAAGCGUGGGGAGCAAACAGG